AGCAGCCGCGGUAAUUCCAGCUCCAAUAGCGUAUAUUAAAGUUGUUGCAGUUAAAAAGCUCGUAGUUGAAUUUCGAGACCGGUUUACUGGUCGUGCUUUUGUACGUACUGGUAUUAUUGGUUUCUCCUUUCUGACGAAUCAUAAUGCCAUUAAUUUGGUGUUUUGGGGAAUCAGGACUGUUACUUUGAAAAAAUUAGAGUGUUUAAAGCAGGCUCACGCUUGAAUACAUUAGCAUGGAAUAACGAAAUAGGACGUUUGAUUUUAUUUUGUUGGUUUCUAGGAUCGACGUAAUGAUUAAUAGGGAUAGUUGGGGGCAUUAGUAUUCAAUUGUCAGAGGUGAAAUUCUUGGAUUUAUUGAAGACUAACUACUGCGAAAGCAUUUGCCAAGGAUGUUUUCAUUAAUCAAGUA
Molecule: ribosomal RNA, 409 nt
Filed under: uncultured Glomus
Lineage: Eukaryota; Fungi; Glomeromycota; Glomeromycetes; Glomerales; Glomeraceae
Description: SSU rRNA
Rfam family: Eukaryotic small subunit ribosomal RNA
Source: RNAcentral